Molecule: long non-coding RNA, 480 nt
Filed under: Elaeis guineensis (African oil palm)
Lineage: Eukaryota; Viridiplantae; Streptophyta; Magnoliopsida; Arecales; Arecaceae
Description: long non-coding RNA (EGUI_LNC002488)
Source: RNAcentral
AAGUGUUUGUCUUUCACGACUGCAUGAUCCAUCGACUGACGACGGAUUUAUGGGACUUCUGGACAACAUGCUCGAGCUAGUCGGCAAAUCUUCACCAUGACAAGUCUAUCUCUUGUAAGUCACAUCUAUACCGUGUUCGUAUAAAUGAUUCUGAAUGUCCGAUAAGGUACACCAAAAUAAAUUCCUACAUCGACGACAUGGACAACGAGCUUUUCCAUCUUCUCUAGUAUGAUUGGACAUCACAUUCAUAAAAGUCGUCACACCCGUAAUAUACUCGGGACAGAACUUAUCACGCAAUGACAUCCAACCACGAUCCAUACCUACAUAUUUAUGAUGCAAACUAUACAAUCAAUUUUAUGUAAUAAUAGUUGACUAACGCCUUAUAUCUCCUACCUAUAGGGUGAUGGUCCUAUUCCAUUCAGGAACGUAAGAAUUUAAUAUCGCAAUAUAUGUCUUGUAUAUCAAAAAAAUUUCGACAGC